Molecule: ribosomal RNA, 377 nt
Filed under: uncultured bacterium
Lineage: Bacteria
Description: bacterial SSU rRNA
Rfam family: Bacterial small subunit ribosomal RNA
Source: RNAcentral
UAAUACGUAGGUGGCGAGCGUUGUCCGGAAUUACUGGGUGUAAAGGGCGUGUAGGCGGGGACGCAAGUCAGAUGUGAAAUUCCGGGGCUCAACCCCGGCGCUGCAUCUGAAACUGUGUCUCUUGAGUGCUGGAGAGGAAAGCGGAAUUCCUAGUGUAGCGGUGAAAUGCGUAGAUAUUAGGAGGAACACCAGUGGCGAAGGCGGCUUUCUGGACAGUAACUGACGCUGAGGCGCGAAAGCGUGGGGAGCAAACAGGAUUAGAUACCCUGGUAGUCCACGCUGUAAACGAUGGAUACUAGGUGUAGGAGGUAUCGACCCCUCCUGUGCCGCAGUUAACACAAUAAGUAUCCCACCUGGGGAGUACGGCCGCAAGGUUG